This is a long non-coding RNA of Mobula hypostoma (lesser devil ray), 3290 nucleotides long. RefSeq lists it as uncharacterized. Lineage: Eukaryota; Metazoa; Chordata; Chondrichthyes; Myliobatiformes; Myliobatidae. The transcript is spliced from 4 exons. The record is from RefSeq and is a predicted model, not a curated record.
UACAGCGAAAUGCUGAAAUUCUCUCGGAAAUUGACAACGAACAAGCAUUGUGAUGGGGCAUAUUUAAUAAAAGAGAAAAACCGCCAGAAUGUUAUCAUUAUAAAUUCCCAUUGCUCUUAACACUUAUUUUGGAGAGCCAUAGCCAUGUGGUCUACAGCAUGCCUCGGAUCAAUCACACCGUAUUCCAUGAUCAGCCAACAACACGCUACUGAAUCCCGUGUUUUUCCUGUAAAUUCCACUGGAUCUUGCGUUUGUCCCCAAAGCAUGCAGUCUUCUCCCGCUCAUUUAGCUCUGCAGCAAAUCCUCGCUAAACAAAAGGGCUGCGUGGCGCGCUUUCUCUUCCAGCAAAAUGGCGUUCAGACUUUAACAGACACAACCAAUAGGUUAAAUUUAAAAUAAAAAAAACCUCUGAACGGCGCCGAAUAACGAGCGGGUGCUUUGAGUGUGCGGCGUACAGUGGAUUAAAAACAGCCUCUACCUCACCGUGGAAACCAUUCAUUUUCCACAAUAGAUCCUAAAUACAAAUCAAUAAAUCCUGGAAACACCAACCCAGCGGGUAGCACUAUUAGCAUUUUAUCAAAUGGUGGUCUCCCUCUUAAAGGACACCUCCACUCCUUAAAAAGAUAACAAAGCUACGCCAAAUGCAAUUCCUCCAGGAGUUAAACCGGCAGGAUGAAUGAUUAUAUCCCGACUGAACUGAACGAUUCCAUACAAAGGCAUUGAAUUUACCGCAGUCCCUCCCCCCAGCCCCGGGAAUCACAGAAAACCAGUUUCUACAAUACUAUGAUUACAAACUGAAUCCCGUUACCUAUCCCCAUUAUCUGUCCCCACAGCAGUCCAAUUGUAAUGGGAAAUCCACGGCCCCAACACCUCUCCACCCCUAAAAAGUUGUAAGGAAAAUCGUCCCUCGAAAACAAUCCCUACAGCUUUUCCACCCCAUGUUAACGGAAGAUGCAAGUAGAUCGCACCAGUCCCUGCAGAGUUUGCAAAACUGCACUGAACACGACCCACUACUCCGAAAACAAAGUCGUGGAGGGCCAAGCAUGCAAUUCCCGACACGUCCAUAGAAACUGCGAGGGUCGCCCCGCCGAGUCGAUGCUGCGGGUCACGCCGAUGGCUGCGGGCCAAGACGACCCGCGGGUGGAGUGGAGUGGAGUGGAGUGGCGUCGGAGCCCGGGAAUAGAAGGUAGCGGCGGUGUGGGGAGAAGUGUAUCUAAAGUAACAAAAGAGGACAAGAUUUCAGGAGGUCAUGCAGACAGAUGAGAGAAAGAAACCAGAUAGACAGGUGAGUUAGUCCUGACGAAGGGUCUCGGCCUGAAACGUCGACUGCGCCUCUUCCUAGAGAUGCUGCUUGGCCUGCUGCGUUCACCAGCAACUUUGAUGUGUGUUGCUAGACAGGUACAAGGCAUCUCCUGGCUCAGUAACCAGCAGCUCCACCCUUCCUUCCACAACCAUGAAUGCCAAGUCCCCACCCUUGAGCGUAUUCACAAGAAGCACUGCUGCAGGAAAGCAGCAUCCAUCAUCAAGGACCGUUAACCAUCCAGGUCACGCUCUCUUCUUGAUGCUGCCAUCAGGAAGGAGGUACAGGAGCCUUAGGUCCCACACCACCAGGUUCAGGAACAGUUAUUAACCUACAUACAACCAUCAGGCUCCUGAAUUGGUGUGGAUAACUUCACUCAUUUCAACUCUGAAUUGAUUCCCCAACCUACAGACUCACUUUCAAGGACUCUACGAGUCAUGUUCUCGGUGUUUUUUUUAUUUGCAAAAUGCAUCUUCUUUCGCACAUUGGUUAGUUGUUAGUCUUUGUUUAUGUAAAGAUUUUCAUAAAUUCUGCAGUAUUUCUUCAUUUUCCUGUAAGUGCUUGCAAGAAAAUGAAUCUCAAGGUAGUAUCUGGUGACAUAUAUGCACUUUGAUAAUAGAUUUACUUUGAUUUUGACUCUUUAAUUUGUGUUUUCUUUUCACAGUUCUGAUGAGGUUGCAGUCUUUGCUGUUUCUCUCACUUGCCUGACCUGCUGAGUGUUUUCAGCAUUUUCUGUUUUUUAUUUAAUCAGUUAAUUGUUUAGUUUGUUUAUUGUGUAAUUAGAACAGAACAAAUCCCUCCUGGGAUAAAGUGAUGUUGGAUUAGGAAAAACUGAGCAGCAAUGGUUUUACAGCAGAAUGUAGGGUCACCUAAUCAACACACACAUGAACUGUAAAGGGAGCUUGAGAGGUUUGAUUCUGUAAGGAUGUUUUCCCAUGGGAAAGUUUAGCAAUAAGGGGCACAUUAUAGUAGGAUGAGGGGUCUUCUUUUUUAAAAUGAAAAAGGGAAUUUGUUUUCUUCUUUGAUAGUGGGGCAAAUCUUGGGAAUUAUUCACCCUGGAUAACUGUGGAUGCUGAGUCAUUCAAGGAUGAUUUGACAGAGAAAUGAGGGAGGAAGCAGCUGGCUAAAAGGACGUCUAGCUGUAGGGUGAUUCAGGUGGAAGCAGAUAGUCAGUGCUUGUCCAAAGAACAGUCAAACCUAGGUAUUGAUAGACAGGGUUUCAGUGUUUUAUUAUUUAAAUUAAUAAAGCUUGGAUGAAUUGCAGGAUCCUGUGGUGAGCUCCAUGUAUCUGCAAUCGAUCUUUCUCUUUCUCCUUGUCUCUCUCAUAUACACACACAAAGAAGUGUCACAUAUAAGACAUAUCAUACAGACAUUACAAAUGUUCACUUUGCUUCACGUAACAGGAAAUUAAUUUGUGUCCUACUAUCAAUGCUUUUUCCUCUGUUAGAAACUGCUGGGAUGAAAGUCUGUAAGGAUCACUAUCAUGCCCCAGCCGUUUAUUAAUUGAUGUAUCAUUACUAUUAAUUAAAAAGUUGUGUUUCAAAGAAUUACAUAUUUAUAUAUUUUUAUAUUUUGCAGAAGGUUGAAACAACUUUUAAAGUUUUAGUAUCUAUUUGUUUCCCUACAGCCAUAUAACAGUCUCUGAUGCUGGGGAUGAUUGUUGCCAAAAGAAUUAUUUUGAGGGAAUGGAAAUCACCCUGUCCCCCUUCCUUUCGGAGAUGGAUGGCUGAUAUGAUCUCAGUCACACAGAUGGAGAAACUUGGGUUCUUGAGAACCAAUUCAAUUAAAACAUUUUUGUCUAUCUGGGAUCCAUUUCUUGCCUACCUGGAUGAGGCCAGAAUGAGAAAUUUCCCCCCAGCUGAUUUCUCGCAGCCCUCAUUUGAGAUUUAAUGUUUAGUAUUUUUGAGCACUUUGUACAAUAGGCAUCCCUCUAAUGUUAUGUCCCUUCUUUUUUGCUUAUUUCCUUUUUACACAUGUCUGAGCUGGUAUG